RNAcentral lists this small RNA (551 nucleotides) under Fusarium culmorum. RNAcentral's name for it is "eukaryotic LSU rRNA". The stretch from base 181 to 338 matches the Rfam family "5.8S ribosomal RNA". Lineage: Eukaryota; Fungi; Ascomycota; Sordariomycetes; Hypocreales; Nectriaceae. The record is from RNAcentral.
CCCGUAGGUGAACCUGCGGAGGGAUCAUUACCGAGUUUACAACUCACUCAAACCCCUGUGAACAUACUUUAUGUUGCCUCGGCGGAUCAGCCCGCGCCCCGUAAAAAGGGACGGCCCGCCGCAGGAACCCUAAGCUCUGUUUUUAGUGGAACUUCUGAGUAUAAAAAACAAAUAAAUCAAAACUUUCAACAACGGAUCCUCAUUGGUUCUGGCAUCGAUGAAGAACGCAGCAAAAUGCGAUCAACGUAAUGUGAAUUGCAGAAUUCAGUGAAUCAUCGAAUCUUUGAACGCACAUUGCGCCCGCCAGUAUUCUGGCGGGCAUGCCUGUUCGAGCGUCAUUUCAACCCUCAAGCCCAGCUUGGUGUUGGGAGCUGCAGUCCUGCUGCACUCCCCAAAUACAUUGGCGGUCACGUCGAGCUUCCAUAGCGUAGUAAUUUACAUAUCGUUACUGGUAAUCGUCGCGGCCACGCCGUUAAACCCCAACUUCUGAAUGUUGACCUCGGAUCAGGUAGGAAUACCCGCUGAACUUAAGCAUAUCAAUAAGCGGAGGA